AGAACCCAUGCGGAUAUAGUUUUCAUAUAAUUCAUUCCCUUGAUCAAAAUGAUCAUAGGAUACCCCAGAGUUCAACUGUUAACUCUGAUCAGGUUGUCCACAUUGUAUUUUAAAAUAUCAAAUCCAUCUGAUGGAUUACCCUGGCCAAGGUUUUGCUAAAUUGAAAUACAGCGACUCAUUCUUCUCUAACUCUUGGAGUGGUCAAUCCCAUCUCGAUCACACUCUGACUUCGCAAGUACUUGACUGUGCCCAUAAGCCUUCCGUCCCUGAAUUAAAAAUUCAGUUAGUCCAGUACCA
RNAcentral lists this long non-coding RNA (297 nucleotides) under Elaeis guineensis (African oil palm). Its description in RNAcentral is "long non-coding RNA (EGUI_LNC021559)". Lineage: Eukaryota; Viridiplantae; Streptophyta; Magnoliopsida; Arecales; Arecaceae. The record is from RNAcentral.